Molecule: long non-coding RNA, 6937 nt
Organism: Orcinus orca (killer whale)
Lineage: Eukaryota; Metazoa; Chordata; Mammalia; Artiodactyla; Delphinidae
Exons: 3
Source: RefSeq, a predicted model, not a curated record
AAAAGGAAAAAGCGAAACAUAGAAUGCAUUUAUAUUAGAUCCCUCUAAACUUUUAUUUAGAAAAGAUAAAUUUCUCUCCGGACUUGUUAAUCUGACUCUAAAGUUUCUUACGCCGGAAGGGAAAGGUGGCCCGAAGUGUGUCAGAUGACCGCCAGUCCUUUCCCAUAUCCCGCCAGGCUUCACCUUUCUCUUAACUUUGAUUCAGGAGCUGCGAGAUGACGCCAGCGUUUUGCGCCAACAGCAUUCCUGGUCGCGCAAUUGAGUUCUUGGUUGGAAAGGUAGCGUUCUCUUUUUACACAGCUGUUAGCUCCUCUCGUUAGCUGUCACUUUGUUCUGUUCCUCUGAGCAGAGCAUACGUUCCUACAGAAUGUUCACAGCUCCAAGAGGAAUUGGUGCACUCAAUUAUGGAGGCUGAAAAGUCCUACAAUGUGCAUUCUGCAAGUUCGACACCCUGGAAAACCUGUGGUGUAAUUCAGUCUGAGUCUGAAGGCCUGAGAACCAGGGGAGCUGAUGGUGUAAAUCCAGUCUAAGUACAGGAGAAGAAUGACGUACCAGCUGAGCAGGCAGUACAGUCCUGUGGUCAGAGAAAUCUCUAGGAUGGAAACAAAGAAGAUUUUAGAGGUAAGGAAGAGCAAACAGGUGAGACAUUGAACCUGGCCUACAUUCCCCACCAUGUGUCGGAGAAAUCAGAACCGAAGGGCCCUGUCAUACCUGUUCCAUCUGGUCAAUAAUGGUUGCGACCUCACAGAAACGGAAGGGAGAAAUCAGGGGAAGAGCAGACACUGCACUCAUCCCUAAAUUUCCCACAGUCCUCAGCAGGGCACAAGAGAACAGUCAGAUCUUUUCUGUGCUCAUGAGAAGGGUAGAAUGGGUAGAGCAAUUCAGAAAAUUCAAGUAACGUGAGGAAAUAGAGGGACCUGUGAGAAGCUGACACCUGGGGCCAUGCCAGGACUUGGAUUCAGACGAGGCCCCUAGGACUAUGGAGAUGGAGGUCAAAGAUAUCUGGAAACAAUUAUGGGAUGAAUUAUAUAUGCAUUCCUGGAGAUUAGCAUCAGCCCCAGGAAAAGAGGAAUGGGGACAAAGAGACUAUGAUUGCUUUUUAAAAUGAGGUCUUUGAAAAUCACUCAGUUGGACUAGUUUACUACAUUUGGCAGCAUGGGGCCUGAGAGUCAAAAAAUUAAGUUAAAGGAAACUAAAACAAGCUACAUUUUUGCAAAAAUACAUUUUGGGGGAUAUCAUAACUUUCUGAAGAAUCUGAAAUGUAUACUUGCUGCACACCUCUUUUACAAAUUCAGUGCGCUGGAGGCAUUUCUUCACUAUCUUUUCCCCACAAAUGUUGCUCCUGCUUCCUCCUGCACAGCAUCUCUUGGAUGUGAUGUUUCAAUCUUUGCUGCCAGUUAAUUAUGCAAAUUCCAGUAAUGUCUCACUUACAUUAUUAUAACAUCUUUCCUAGUGUUACUGCCUUGUUUUAUUCUUAUUUUGAUAAGUUUUAUGAUCUCGUAACUCUUUUUCUUACAGUAGCAUGUACUGUCUUAAUUCAUUCUUUGAUUAGGCCUCUCUAACUUUCCGUGUCGUACUAUUCAGCAUGAUAUGAAGACCAAGGAUAUAUUAUAUCCUAGUAUAAUUUAUUUAUGAUUAACUUUCAUUCUUCUAAUCAUUGAACCACUUGUUUCUUUUGCUUGGAAUAAUGUUUAUGUCCUUAGGUUUACAUUUUGAGACUUGCAGAACUUGAUGAACUAAACUAAUGCAGAUCAUCCUCAAAAAAACUAGAUAAAAUAUUUAAAAUAAUUUAAAAUGCAAUAAUAUUUUCAAUGAAAGAAAAGAUAAUCUAUAAGCGCCAGGAAUUGAGAGAAAUAAAAGGCAAAGUUUUAAAUGGAAACUGAGCCAGUCAGAGCUCACAUAGGUUCUGGGCUUGAUACAGACUCUAUGGAUGAGAAUUUUAAAUGCACAUAAGGAUGAGAGCCAUGUCAUUUGAUCCACAAGAGCUGGGGAGCACUGAGUAACCAGCUUAAAAAACAGUACUUUAAAGUAGUGCUCUCCUUGCAAAAAUGGGACUAGAAAUAUCCUGCCCACAAGCCUUGGGAAGCAGCCUAAAAAUCUGCUCUCUAUUUGGAGCUCUAAGUGGAAAAAACAAGCACUAGUAAGAAACUGAAAGCCCAGGUUUGUGCCACAUGGGGUCACAACUGCUAUUUCCUGAAUGAUAUGGGAAAUACAAGCUGAGAAAUUGGAAUAAAAGCUAGUCAAAGACCAUUAAAAUCUAUUGUAUUCUGUCAGAAAAAAGUACAAAAUUGAUCUGUCAGGAUAAUUUCACAACUCAGGGAAUGUAGAACUCUUAUGGAAAACACAAACCCAUUGAAGAUGAACUUACAAUCAAAAGUUAAAAACUACCUUAGCAAAUGAACCAUUAUGAGGGAGAGUAAGAAGGAAUAGCAAACAGGAGGAUCAACACUCUCAAGAAUAGAAAACAAUAAACAAUCUGAAAGUGAUUAUAAAGUAAGUUUAUUUAAAUUGUUUAAAAAGAUAAAGGUGGAGCAGAAACCAUAAUGAAACAAGAAAAUAUGAAAUAAAGUAUAAGAAGAUAAGUAUAAUAUAUGACAUAGUUCAAGAGAGAAAUUGUGGUUAAUUUGAGGAAAUCAUCUCCACAAAAUAAAGCUACAGCACAGAGAAAUAAAGGUAUGAAGAAUAAUAAAAAGCAGUUGACAGAGAUAAAGGAUAGAACAUGGAGGUUAAAUGUAUAAGUAAUGGGAAUCUUAGUGGUAAAAACAGAGAAAAUGGAAAAAUAACAAUAGUAAAAUAAUUUAUUUGUUGAGGAUUUACCAGAUGUAAAGAAGACAAGCUACCAAAUCCAAAUAGCAUAGAAUAAAAUCAAAUUCCCACCUAAAAGUAUCAGAGUGAAAUUAUAGAAUACAAAAGGCAAAAAAAUGUUAAAAGCAACUAGAGAGAAGGACUAAUUAUGUACAAAGUGUGAGGGAACAAACUAUCAUUCAAGUGUGAGGAAAAAAUUUAAAAACAUUUUCAGAUAAAUAAGGAUUGAGAGUAUACCAGACACCAUUGACUGAGAAAAGAAUUAUUAGAAGAAAUUUAAACCUGGAAGGAAGAAAGGGAAUGUGAGAAGCAAAUGGAAACAAAUAAGUUGGUGAAGAUGUGGUUCAACCCAAAUAAUGAAUUGACUAUGUAAAAAUGGAUAAAUUUUGGAGAGUUUAAAAAUAAGGUAGAAUUAAAAUACCAGAUAAAAAUAACAUGGAAGAUGGUAGAAGAAGAGUUCAGAGUUAAGUGUUUUUAUGGUUCUUGUAGAUGAUGGUGGUGGAUAAAGAUGUUUUUCUUAUGUUAAAUUUGUAUGCUAAGAUUUUUCAGUGUAACUACUAAAAGAAUAGAAAUAGAUGUGUAACAGAAAAUAGUAGAGGUGGAAAAAAAUAAAGAUUACCUGAUUAAUUUGAUUAAGCCAAUGAUCGAUAAAAGACAGAAAGGCUGAAAACAGAAAAAAAUCAGAGAAACUUAAAAACACAAAACAUAGUAGAAAUAAGCUAAAAUAGUUUACAUCAAGUCAAAAGUUUUAGAGUAAAAAUGACCCAUUUAAACAAAAACUCAAUUAAUAUGUUGAGUGCCUCAUGCCUGGAGUCAGAGCAUACCAAAUUGUCUUUGCUCUAGACUACAAAGAAAGUCCAAGCAAAUCAACAUCAUAACAUAAUAUUCUUUGACUAUAAUGUAAUAAAAUUAGAAGUCAAUAACAAAAAGAUAUUGCAGAUGUGAAGUCUGGUUUCCAGUAACUGAAGGAGCUGGUAUUGUACUAAAUAUCUUAUCAAUAAUAAUUACAAACUUUGAACAAAAAUAUUUUAAAAGUCUCUGAAGCUACUGGAAAUCAAUCAAAAGCAGGCAAAACUGGAGGAGAAUCCUCUCUUGAAAGAUAGGAAUGAUCACAAUUUAGAUUCGUGUGUAUAUUGCUUUUCCACUGAGGGCAUUCUCAAGACCUGUGGGCACAGUGUACAGUAAGUCCCCUACAUAUGAACGAGUUCCAUUCUGAGUGUGUGUUCAUAAGUCCAAUCUGUUCAUAAGUCCACAGAGUUAGUCUAGGUACCCAACUAACACAAUCAGCUAUAUAGUACUGUACUGUAAUAGGUUUAUAAUACUUUUCACACGUAUAAUAUGUACAAAAGCAAGCAAACACAAAAAAUAAAGAAAACAUUUUUAAUCUUACAGUACAGUGUCUUGAAAAGUACAGUAGUACAGUACAACAGCUGGCAUGCAGGGGCUGGCACGCACGCUUGCAUCUUUGAAAGUUCACAACUUGAAGAUUCGUAUGUAGGGGACUUACUGUAUAGGAUUUGAUCAGAAAAUCAGUCUUAUUGGCCUGAAGAGGCAGAGGAUAGGGGCUGCCAGAGUUGCUGGAAAUUGAAUAGGGAAUACAAGAAUUGAGGAGGCCUCAGAGGGAAAUCCUCAAAAUCUGUAUAAAUCCUUCUUAUAAAUGACCUUUCUAAAAUCUUUGGCUGUCCUUAAGCUGCACAUAUGUUAGGAUCUCAUCAAGUAGCUCAAGGAGAAAACAACAGCUGGAGAACUGAAAAGGAUGAACAGAUAGUUCAACAGCUGCUUCCCAGAAGAAGACAACGUUUGGAUGUUCAAUCCCAUUAGAUUACAGAGUCUUGGUAAAUAUUUCAGGAUUUUUACUGAAAGCCAAGAAGGAUUAUGCUUUAUGAAUCAAGACUACCUUCUAAGACUAAGGGAUUCACCUUUGGACUAAGUCAAAACUAUUCCACCAGUCGUUUAGCUACUUGCAAGAACAAAACUAACCAUUCUCCAGAGGAACAUAACAGAAUAAAGUCACUCUACAAUUAUUAUAAUGAGACAUAUGAAGAAACAGCAAAAGUGACCUACAGUUAAGAGAAAAAUCAGUCACUAGAAACAUAUCAACAGACAAUAUAGAUGUUGGAAUUUGCAGAAGGACUGUAAAAUGAUCAGCAGGAUAACUAUGUAAAAGAAGCAAUUUUAAAAGAUGGGUAUAAUAGAUGAUGAGAUAGGGAAUUUCAGGAGAAAUUGGAAACUAUCAAAAAGAAUCAAAUAGAAGUCCUAGAAGAAAAAAGUAUAGUAUCUGAAAUUGAAAGAUCCUUCAGAUGACAUUAACAGCAGAUUGGAAGCAAUAGCAAAGAUCUUGAGUGAACUUCAGAAACUGAAGCAUAGAGAGAGAGAAAGAACUGAGCCCCAGUGACUUAUGGGAUAAUGUCAAUCAGCCUUACAUACAUGUAAUCAGAGCCUCAGAAAGAAAAGAGAAUGAGAAGGAGACAGAUAAAUGUUUUUAUUUUUCUAUUUUUAUCAACUCUGAUUUUAAAAAUUCCUAGUAACCAUUACUCUGGGAGAUGGAUCGAAAAAGAUAUUGCUGCAAUUUAUGUCAAAGAGUGUUCUGCCUAUGUUUUCCUCUAAGAGUUUUAUAGAAUCAGGUCUUACAUUUAGGUCUUUAAUCCAUGUUGAGUUUAUUUUUGUGUAUGGUGUUAAAGAAUGUUCUAGUUUCAUUUUUUUUUACAGGUAGCUGUCCAGUUUCCCCAGAACCAUUUAUUAUAGAGACUGUCUUUUCUCCACUGUAUAGUCUUGCGUCUUCCAGACUAAUUGACCAUAGGUGCGUGGUUUUAUUUCUGAGCUUUCUAUCCUGUUCCAUUGAUCUAUAUUUCUGGGGGUUUUUUUGUGCCAGUACCAUACUGUUUUGAUGACCGUAUGGAGAUAAAAACAAAAAUAAACAAAUGGGACCUAAUUAAACUCAAAAGCUUUUGCACAGCAAAGGAAACCACAAACAAAAUGAAAAAACAACCCACAGAAUAGGAGAAAAUAUUCACAAAUGAUGCAAACGACAAGGGAUUAGUCUCCAAAAUUUACUGACAGCUCAUGUGGCUCAAUAUCAAAAAACAAAUAACCCAAUCAAAACAUGGGCAGAAGACCUAAAUAGACAUUUUUCCAAAGAAGACAUACAGAUGGUGAAGAGGCAUGUGAAAAAAUGCUCAACGUUGCUAAUAAUAAGAGAAAUGCAAAUCAAAACUACAAUGAGGUAUCACCUCACACUAGUCAGAAUGGCCAUUAUCAAAAAAUCUACAAACAGUAAAUGCUGGAGAGGGUGUGGAGAAAAGGGAACCCUCCUACACUGUUGGUGGGAAUGUAAAGUGGUACGGCCACUAUGGAGAACAGUAUGGAGGUUCCUUAAAAGACUAAAAAUAGAGCUAUCAUAUGAUCCAGCAAUCCCCCUCCUGGGUAUAUAUCUGGAGAAAAAUAUGGUUCGAAAUGAUACAUGCACCCCAAUGUUCAUAGCAGCACUAUUUACAGUAGCCAAGACAGGGAAACAACCUAAAUGUGUAUUGACAGAUGAAUGGAUAAAGAAGAUGUGGUGUAUAUAUACAAUGGAAUAUUACUCAGCCAUUAAAAAGAAUGAAAUAAUGCCAUUUACAGUGGAUGGACUUGGAGAUUAUCAUACUAAAUGAAGUAAGUCAGACAGAGAAAGACAAAUAACAUAUGAUGUCACUUAUAUGCGGAAUCUAAAAAAAAUGAUACAAGUGAACUUAUUUACAAAACAGAAACAGACUCACAGACUUAGAGAAUGAAUUUAUGGUUAUUGAGGGGAAGGGCAGGGUGGGGAGGGAUAGAUUGGGAGUUUGGGAUUGACAUGUAUCCACUGCUAUAUUUAAAAUAGAUAACCAACAAGGACGUACUGUAAAAAAAAACAAAACAAAAAACCCAAGUAACCAGUAAAUCCAGGACACUCAGAAGAUCCCAAGAAGGAUAAAUACAAAUAAAACUAUAUCUAUGAACAUCACAGGUAAACUGCUGAAAAUAAAAAAGUGAUGAUAAAAAUAUUCUGUCUUUGAUUGAGGUGGGAUUUUUCAAAACUCAUGAAACUGUAUACUUUAAACCUGUCUAUUUUACUUAUGUAUACCUCAGUUAAAAAAAAAUUUAUACACCCAAA